GAUCAACGCUGGCGGCGUGCCUAAUACAUGCAAGUCGAGCGAACAGACGAGGAGCUUGCUCCUCUGACGUUAGCGGCGGACGGGUGAGUAACACGUGGAUAACCUACCUAUAAGACUGGGAUAACUUCGGGAAACCGGAGCUAAUACCGGAUAAUAUAUUGAACCGCAUGGUUCAAUAGUGAAAGACGGUUUUGCUGUCACUUAUAGAUGGAUCCGCGCCGCAUUAGCUAGUUGGUAAGGUAACGGCUUACCAAGGCAACGAUGCGUAGCCGACCUGAGAGGGUGAUCGGCCACACUGGAACUGAGACACGGUCCAGACUCCUACGGGAGGCAGCAGUAGGGAAUCUUCCGCAAUGGGCGAAAGCCUGACGGAGCAACGCCGCGUGAGUGAUGAAGGUCUUCGGAUCGUAAAACUCUGUUAUUAGGGAAGAACAAAUGUGUAAGUAACUAUGCACGUCUUGACGGUACCUAAUCAGAAAACCACGGCUAACUACGU
This 496-nucleotide ribosomal RNA is filed under the name uncultured bacterium. Its description in RNAcentral is "partial 16S ribosomal RNA". It matches the Rfam family "Bacterial small subunit ribosomal RNA", at positions 28 to 506 of the family's 1533-position model. The record is from RNAcentral.